ACAGAGGCGCGGAAUGCAUCAGUAUCCCUUCGUAUGGUCGCCCGCCGCAAGGAGCGAAGGCGAAAAAGGGCAUCGCCGCCGAAAGUCGGCCAAUCGGCAAGCGGCCGGCUUGGUUCCAAUCGCCGAAAGGUCUGGAACUGUCACGGGAGUUCCUCCUGUGGUGCGCUGUG
Molecule: non-coding RNA, 170 nt
Filed under: uncultured Anaerofilum sp.
Lineage: Bacteria; Bacillati; Bacillota; Clostridia; Eubacteriales; Oscillospiraceae
Description: Lysine riboswitch
Rfam family: Lysine riboswitch aptamer
About the family: Riboswitches are metabolite binding domains within certain messenger RNAs that serve as precision sensors for their corresponding targets. Allosteric rearrangement of mRNA structure is mediated by ligand binding, and this results in modulation of gene expression.
Source: RNAcentral